Molecule: long non-coding RNA, 2641 nt
Filed under: Homo sapiens (human)
Lineage: Eukaryota; Metazoa; Chordata; Mammalia; Primates; Hominidae
Description: HSALNT0264712
Source: RNAcentral
CUAUGCUUUAAUGUUUUAGUUACAAGUAUUUAUAAUUGCUUGACAAGAGAUGGCAUAGUCAAAAGGCAAUGCAUAAGGGUAUUCAAUGUCUCUAUUAAAUGAGCUGGAAAUUCUUCGCUUCUUGAUCUUUUAUCUCCCUUAUGUCAGCUUUUCUUUUUCUUUUUUUUAAUAAUGCAUAUGCAAAAUUAUAUCCCACUGAACUCCACAGAUCCUCAUGUGUCUCAUUAACAGAAAUAAAAUUAUAAGGUGUUAUGAGGCUCCAACUGGCAGCAACAACUAAUAUUGUUUACAGCUCUUUUUCCAACAGCACUUGCACCUUUUGGAGAACUAGUGAGAAACUAAUUUUGAUCCAUUUAGCAACUGAACUUUUCAGACAUUCUUUGUCACCCACUAGAUAGCAAGAAUUCUAAACAACGGAGAAGGCAGGGAGGAGAGUGGUGGGUGGUGCUGACAACCUCCAGGCAGCCACAGGUGUGUCAAGAGGUGCAAGACACCCACAGCAAGAGCUAGAUCAGAGGCACUUCCAUCCAACACCCACUCCCAUGAUUCCAAGCAGCACCAAGGAUUAAACCAUCUGCGCCUGACCUCCUGCAGGCCUUUGGACACCGAUGGAUUAAUCCUGGGCUUCAGCUUCCUUGAGUAGCAGAGGGGGAUUAUGGGUUGGAAAAUGAAGAAUGAGCUUGCAAGAAAACACUGAUGCUUCCCAGUAGGUCAUACUUUUUCCCCAGCUGCAUACAGAGUCUAAAACUCAACUGUAGCCAAAACAUAAAAUUAUCACAAUUUAUAGAUAUAGCAUUAUGUACUAGCUAAAUAAUUUGGGGACAAUUCCAAUACCAAUCUUAUUAGGCUAAACAUUAUAUGUAAGGGAUUCUAUAAGACUUGUUCAAAUCCAUGCAAUCAUAGUUUUAUCUGUAGGAUAAAGUAUAGCUUUCAAAGACAGAUGAGAAAAUUCAGUAAAAUCUCUCUGGCAGGAUGCAACCUUUCAAAAUUUACCUGAAAAGAGGAAUUUGAUGACGGGAUAACAAACAGGACUUUCAACAUCUAAUUUUUUUUUUCCCAUUGGCAGAUAAAAUCUGUUCUGGCAAAUUCCUAAAGCAAGCCAUUUCAGUAAAAGCAGAAAUACUAUAUGUGAAGAAUAAUAAAAUUCUCUUUACUGAAACUUCAGAUUAACAAUAGGAAAUUUCAAAUUAUUUUGACAGGAAAGAGGCUAACAAUAUUUGCCAAAUGGACUUGAUGACUGUUGAUGGAGCUGAAAGUUGUGAGCAGAAACAAAGUAACAAAGGAGGAACAGGUUGCUGAAGAGACUGACUCAGGAGCAGCCAUGAGAGAUGAUAUUCAUCAAAUAUACCGAAGGAAGUGCAUCCUAGCAUCACCUCCAAAAUCAACUACAUGCAUUCACUGGUCUCACUGUCUGCUUCUGGGGAAACCUCACCUCAAAUGAGGUGAUUCAAAUGUAAAUGACAACGGCAUCAAACUACCUCACUGGGUUCCUGUGAGGAUAAGAUGAUCAAAUGAUGGCAACUUAGAGGAGAAAGGAUGUGGCAGUGAAAGGACCUGUCAAGGCCAGAGGGGAAAAACCUCUCCUCUCGGAAGUCCCUAACGGCGUAUGUCUUUGGGUAGCUGGGUAGACAGUAGCAGACACUCACUCAGCUGAUCAUCAUGUCCUCACUGAGUCCUUACUGCGUGUCAGACACUAAGAAGCGCUGAAGUUAUGUUGGUGAGCAAAAGUGGGCUGAGUACUACCUUUGCCUGCUGUUUUGAAGAGUACCUACCCUCAACAACUUCAAAAUCUGGCAGGAAAAGACAACUGAGUGAAAGAAUUACAGCUGUGGGAAACUGGUAAAAGCUGUUGCAAAGGAGAAUUUCAAGAGAGCAAGAGAAUGGACAGUUGGUGAUUGAACCUGACUAUGAAGGUCGGGGUAGGAAGAUUUCUCUGGGGCAAUGGCACGUGAGCUAAAAUCUGCAAGGUGGGAGGAAUUAACGAGACAGGAGGAGUAAAGAAACAGGAUUCCCACAGAAAGGAGUACAAGUGCAAAGUCCCCAUGGUGGAGAAGGCGACAAGACUGGGACAAAGCUAGAGCUCAGACUCCAAGGCAGGCAUGCACAAGUGUGUGACACAAACAGACUUCAGUAGAGAUUUCUGCCUUGAUCCUACACAGAUCCUCAUCUGAGAGGAAAUCCUAUUGCUCCUGGAGGCUGGGCCACACCACGGUGCUGGGCCCAUUGGAAGUCCCCUCUGCGCAGUAUGAGUUAUUUGAGGGUAAAGAGAAGACCUUAUUUGCUUUGACCUCCUCCAAACUUAGCAACAUAACUGGCUCAAUCUCCUUUUUCAUUGAGAUGAAAUUCACAUAAGAUAAGAUAAUAUUAAUCAUUUUAAAGUGUAAAAUUCAGUGUGGUUUUUUUUUUUUGUAUAUUCACAAAAUUGUGCAACCACCACCACCUCUGCCUAAUUCCAUAACACUUUUGACUACAAAAAGAAACCCCAUACCCAUUAGCAGUCGCUCCUCAUUACCCCCUGCCCUUAUCCUCUGACAACCACUAAUACACAUUCUGUGUGUAUGGAUUUGCCUAUUUUGGACAUUUUAUAUAAAUGUAAUCAUACACUAUGUGGUAUUUUGUAUCUGGCUUCUUUCUCCUAGCA